ACGAUCUAGUUUCCUACCCACCAGAUCUAUACACUGGUCUGAGUGGUUGUAAGAGGGGAAAAGUAAAGUUGAAAUAGACUUCGAUUUUUGUGUGACAUAUUAGAUCAUUUAAAAAUAAUAAGC
RNAcentral lists this small nucleolar RNA (123 nucleotides) under Echinops telfairi (small Madagascar hedgehog). Its description in RNAcentral is "Small nucleolar RNA SNORA61 (ENSETEG00000026872.1)". Lineage: Eukaryota; Metazoa; Chordata; Mammalia; Afrosoricida; Tenrecidae. The record is from RNAcentral.